GCCAGUUUGGAUCUUUGAGCAGUUGCCUCAUUCAGUGUUCAACAUUCCUUCUCUGAUAUACAACCGGAAUUUUCAUCUAAAAUUUUCUAAAGUUCUUCUCUUUGCCGCGGUGAAAGUACAAGACCAGUAAAUAUCUGACGAUGGAACAAGACCCUUCAAACGACAUUUUAAGUAGCGAAGAAAUGGAAGAAUUGAAAGAACUGACCAAUCUGUACAAAAGGAUCAUUGAAAAAUUGGAUGAACUUGUAAGGGAACGAGAAAUUCUAUGCUACCAGAUUGAAUCCAUCAUCUGGCUGUGCAAUCGCUAUAGUCUACCUAGUCAACAAGAAAUGUUGUUGUAUCAUAUAAAUAAUGUAUUGGGCAAUAAUGAUUUUACAGUUGAAGACGGGGAUCUCUUAGAAUAACCCUGUCGUCAAUGUUUUCUGUUUGUUUUAAAUGCUUUCAAAGUCAACAAAAUUAUAAUCCCAUGUAAAAGUGCGCCAGUCAACGAAGAAUGUCAAGCAAAAUAUAUAAUUGUCAAGAUGGAUACAACCUAUGGAUUUGCAAUCGCUAUAUGUAUGCUACCUAGUCAACAACCAAUAAAUAAUUUAUUGAACCAUGAUGAUAUAUGACGAUUCUUAAGAUGAUGGCGGUAAUCGCAUGCAACCCCCGUUUCGUCAAUUUUUUCUGUUUGAUUUAAAUGCUUUAGAUAAAAUUUGACAAAGUCAACAAAAUUUUAAUUCCAAGUGAUAGUAAGCCAGUGAAUGAGGAAUGCCGAGCUACAUAUAUAUUUUUCAAGAUAGAUCCAUCCUCUGGCUGUGCAAUCGCUAUAAGCUACAAAAUCAACGACCAACGUUGUUGUACCAUAAAAAAAAAAUUUUUUGAACAAUGAUGAUUCUUCAGAUGAAGGCGGCGAUCGUCAAGUUUUUCCGUUUCCUUUAAAUGCUUUUAAGAUGGUUUUUGGCAAAGUCAACAAAAUUAUAAUCCCAUGUGAAAGAAAGUCAGUGAAUGAAGUAUGUCAAGAUAAAUAUAUAAUUUUCAAGAUGGAUGAACAAAAUUAUGAAACCUUGUGAAAGAAAUGCCAGUGGAAGAGUAAUAUCAAGAAAGCCUGAUCAAUACAUUUAUAUGGAACUUGAAGUACUUGAUAAAUAGUAUUUUGGAAGAUAUUUACCUUUGUACUGGUUGACUUACUUAAAGAAAUAUACAUUUUACGCUCCUGGGAUACUAAAAA
This is a long non-coding RNA of Drosophila subpulchrella, 1210 nucleotides long. RefSeq lists it as uncharacterized. Lineage: Eukaryota; Metazoa; Arthropoda; Insecta; Diptera; Drosophilidae. The transcript is spliced from 2 exons. The record is from RefSeq and is a predicted model, not a curated record.